Molecule: ribosomal RNA, 301 nt
Filed under: uncultured bacterium
Lineage: Bacteria
Description: partial 16S ribosomal RNA
Rfam family: Bacterial small subunit ribosomal RNA
Source: RNAcentral
CAGUCGCCGCGGUAAUACGAGGGGGGCAAGCGUUGUUCGGAAUUAUUGGGCGUAAAGGGUGCGUAGGCGGUUUGGCAAGUUUGGUGUGAAAUCUUCGGGCUCAACUCGAAGUCUGCAUCGAAAACUGCCGGGCUUGAGUAUGGGAGAGGUGAGUGGAAUUUCCGGUGUAGCGGUGAAAUGCGUAGAUAUCGGAAGGAACACCUGUGGCGAAAGCGGCUCACUGGACCAUAACUGACGCUGAUGCACGAAAGCUAGGGGAGCAAACAGGAUUAGAUACCCCUGUAUCCCUGUCUCUUAUACC